Molecule: unclassified non-coding RNA, 88 nt
Filed under: Pseudomonas mandelii
Lineage: Bacteria; Pseudomonadati; Pseudomonadota; Gammaproteobacteria; Pseudomonadales; Pseudomonadaceae
Source: RNAcentral
GUGGGAGUGAGCCUGCUCGCGAUGACGGAGUGUCAGUCAGUAUCAAUGCUCAAUGACACACUGCAAUCGCGAGCAGGCUCGCUCCCAC